Molecule: ribosomal RNA, 253 nt
Filed under: uncultured bacterium
Lineage: Bacteria
Description: partial 16S ribosomal RNA
Rfam family: Bacterial small subunit ribosomal RNA
Source: RNAcentral
UACGGGGGGGGCAAGCGUUGUUCGGAAUUACUGGGCGUAAAGGGCUCGUAGGCGGCCAACUAAGUCGGAUGUGAAAUCCCCAGGCUUAACCUGGGAACUGCAUCCGAUACUGGAUGGCUUGAAUCCGGGAGAGGGAUGCAGAAUUCCAGGUGUAGCGGUGAAAUGCGUAGAUAUCUGGAGGAAUACCGGUGGCGAAGGCGGCAUCCUGGGCCGGCAUUGACGCUGAUGAGCGAAAGCUAGGGGAGCAAACGGG